RNAcentral lists this transfer RNA (73 nucleotides) under Pangasianodon gigas (Mekong giant catfish). RNAcentral describes it as "tRNA-Lys". It matches the Rfam family "tRNA". Rfam says of the family: Transfer RNA (tRNA) molecules are approximately 80 nucleotides in length. Their secondary structure includes four short double-helical elements and three loops (D, anti-codon, and T loops). Lineage: Eukaryota; Metazoa; Chordata; Actinopteri; Siluriformes; Pangasiidae. The record is from RNAcentral.
GCCCAGCUAGCUCAGUUGGUAGCAUGUGGGACUCUUGAUCUCAGGAUCAUGGGUUUGAGCCCCAUGCUGGGUG